RNAcentral lists this ribosomal RNA (462 nucleotides) under uncultured bacterium. RNAcentral's name for it is "partial 16S ribosomal RNA". It matches the Rfam family "Bacterial small subunit ribosomal RNA", at positions 28 to 507 of the family's 1533-position model. The record is from RNAcentral.
GACGAACGCUGGCGGCGUGCUUAACACAUGCAAGUCGAACGGUGAAGCCCUUCGGGGUGGAUCAGUGGCGAACGGGUGAGUAACACGUGAGCAACCUGCCCCUGGCUCUGGGACAACCACUGGAAACGGUGGCUAGUACCGGAUACGACCCGCCUCGGCAUCGAGUGUGGGUGGAAAGUUUUUCGGCUGGGGAUGGGCUCGCGGCCUAUCAGCUUGUUGGUGAGGUGAAGGCUCACCAAGGCGACGACGGGUAGCCGGCCUGAGAGGGCGACCGGCCACACUGGGACUGAGACACGGCCCAGACUCCUACGGGAGGCAGCAGUGGGGAAUAUUGCACAAUGGGCGAAAGCCUGAUGCAGCGACGCCGCGUGAGGGAUGACGGCCUUCGGGUUGUAAACCUCUUUCAGCUCCGAAGAAGCGAAAGUGACGGUAGGAGCAGAAGAAGCACCGGCUAACUACGUG